Molecule: non-coding RNA, 190 nt
Organism: Chelonoidis abingdonii (Abingdon island giant tortoise)
Lineage: Eukaryota; Metazoa; Chordata; Testudines; Testudinidae
Source: RefSeq, a predicted model, not a curated record
CCAAAAAUGAGCUAACUUUGCCUUAGCUUCACAUACAGGGGUUUGGCCUGUAAGUCUCUUGCAUUAAAGCCAUAUUUAUUUUUAAUAUAAGGCUAUAAGCCUAUUACAUCAAAUACUCAAAUUUAUAAGAAAAGAUAUAUUUAUACGAACAAGUAGAUUAAUCCUUAGGGCUACAGCAGGAGGAACUCUU